GCCAAAACUAGAGUCACUUCCUGGUACAGCAUACAUGCUGGUGAGCUAGAGUUCUCAGAGAGGGUCUGCUGGUCCUGAUGUAUUGAUAUGGGCCGCCAAUGCCUGUGUUAAUGCUCAGGGCAGAAAUGUGC
Molecule: small nucleolar RNA, 131 nt
Organism: Phodopus roborovskii (desert hamster)
Lineage: Eukaryota; Metazoa; Chordata; Mammalia; Rodentia; Cricetidae
Product: small nucleolar RNA SNORA3/SNORA45 family
Exons: 1
Source: RefSeq, a predicted model, not a curated record